UAGGUCUGCACUCCUCCCCAGCUGCCUCCUUCUGAGCUGGGUUGAUCCCUUUUUAAUCCUAUCUUCAUUUGGAGCAUGCUCUGCAGGGCUGAAGAGAUGGGGCUAGCUGGGCCCCAUGUAGUCCUUUAACCCCUUCCAUCCCAGGGUGAAGUGUGAAUAGCCCAUCACACUCUGAUAAAACUUUGUACUUUUAAAGCACCUUUUAACUGAGGAUCUCAUCAUGUUUUACAAAUUGCAACUACUUCAUUAAGCCUCUCUGUAUGCCUUUCAGGAAGGACCUGCAUCUGAAAGGCUUUUUCUUCCACCCAAGAGCUGGCUGAAUGGAUUCACUUCCCUACAAAGCAUCUCAACAUUGGUCCAGAGCAGGAAAAGAGCUGCCCCUGUAAACAGCGUGCUUGCCAUCUCUGCCUGAUAACAUGGAUCCUGCACUGCUCUCCACUCUUGUGAAGAGCAUUAUGAACACAACAUGGCUGAUCCUGCAGUAUUUCAUGAGCUGUAAUCUGAAAAAGAAUCUGUGAUGUCUGCCAUUCUGUGUGCCAUGGAAAGAAACAAUUCAAGAUUGAUGUUGGCAUUCACGGAGCAGCUGCACAUAGUGGACCAUCACCAUCAGGAUCGGGAAACAAGCUCUGAGUGGUGGGUUCGCAUUGUGAUGCAGCUAUGAAAUGACAAGCAGUGGCUGCAGAACUUUCAGAUGUGCAAAGUCACCUUCUUGGACCUGUGUGUGGAGCUGGCCCCUACACUGCGGCGCAAGGACACCAAAAUGAGAGCUGCCCUCAUGGUGGAAAAGCGAGUGGCGAUCACACUGUGAAAGCUAGCAACUCCAGACUGCUACUGGUCAGUUGUGAAACAGUUUGGAGUUGGAAAGUCCACUGUGGGGAUUGUGGUGAUGCAAAUAUGUAGGGCCAUUAAUCACCUCCUGCGACAAAGGACUGUGACUCUGAGCAAUGUGCGGGAAAUAGUGGAUAGCUUUGCGGCAAUAGGAUUCCCUAACUGCAGCACUGUGAUAGAUAGCAUGCAUAUCCCAAUUUUGGCCCCAGACCAUCUUGCGAUUAAGUACAUCAAUAGAAAGGGCUACUUCUCUAUGGUAUUGCCAGCGCUGGUGGAUUACCAGGGUCAUUUCACUGACAUCAAUGUGCGGUGGUCAGGGAAGGUGUAUGAUGAUGGCAUCUUUAGGAACACUGCCUGUAUAGAAAGCUGCAUGCAGGGAUUUUCUUUCAAG
Molecule: long non-coding RNA, 1219 nt
Organism: Chelonia mydas (Green sea turtle)
Lineage: Eukaryota; Metazoa; Chordata; Testudines; Cheloniidae
Exons: 3
Source: RefSeq, a predicted model, not a curated record